This 255-nucleotide ribosomal RNA is filed under the name uncultured bacterium. RNAcentral describes it as "partial 16S ribosomal RNA". It matches the Rfam family "Bacterial small subunit ribosomal RNA", at positions 524 to 776 of the family's 1533-position model. The record is from RNAcentral.
UACGAAGGGGGGCUAGCGUUGCUCGGAAUGACUGGGCGUAAAGGGCGCGUAGGCGGAUUGUACAGUCAGGCGUGAAAUUCCCGGGCUCAACCUGGGGGCUGCGCUUGAGACGUGCGAUCUUGAGUGGGGAAGAGGGUCGUGGAAUUCCCAGUGUAGAGGUGAAAUUCGUAGAUAUUGGGAAGAACACCGGUGGCGAAGGCGGCGACCUGGUCCUUGACUGACGGCUGAGGCGCGAAAGCGUGGGGAGCAAACAGG